UACGGAGGGUGCAAGCGUUGUCCGGAAUCACUGGGUGUAAAGGGUGUGCAGGCGGACUAGCAAGUCAGCGGUGAAAGCCCCCGGCUCAACCGGGGAAUGGCCCCUGAUACUGUUAGUCUUGAGUCCCGGAGAGGUCAUCGGAAUUCGUGGUGUAGCGGUGAAAUGCGUAGAUAUCACGAGGAACACCAGAGGCGUAAGCGGAUGACUGGACGGGUACUGACGCUCAGGCACGAAAGCGUGGGGAGCAAACAGG
This 253-nucleotide unclassified non-coding RNA is filed under the name uncultured Bacteroidota bacterium. Its description in RNAcentral is "uncultured Bacteroidetes bacterium contains 16S-23S intergenic spacer region". It matches the Rfam family "Bacterial small subunit ribosomal RNA", at positions 524 to 776 of the family's 1533-position model. Lineage: Bacteria; Pseudomonadati; Bacteroidota. The record is from RNAcentral.